CCCCGCCCCUCAAGGACAGAGUCAGCACCUGCCCUCACCUGGUACAUUGGUAACCAAGCCCAGAGCCGGAGCAGAAGCAGGAGUAAGCUGAGGCAGCAGCCACAGAAGGGGACUACACCCCCAUCCCUGGCCUAGCCUGAGCCUAUCACUGGAGCUUCAGGGAUUCCCAGGUUUUGGAGAGGCCUCAUCCCUGCCUUGUACCUGACAACUCUGUUGAGGAGCACCUCUACUAAUGAGCAUUGAUCACCCAUGCAACUUUUCCAGUGCCGACUAUCGAUGCAAUGUGCUCAGCCUGCAGGCCCCAGUGAUCGUCAUUCCGGUGUUGCUCUCCUCCUCCACACUGCUUGUGAUUGGCUGCAUUGUCUGGAAGACAUGCCGGAGGUUGAGGACUGCCAGACAGGGCUCCCCAUCCCAGUGACAGGUAAGCCUAGGCCUGCCCUGGAAAUAACAGUAACAGUAAUGGUAACUCACAUCAAUCUCUCACAUGUGUAUAGUGAUCUACAAUAAAGCAAUUCCAUGUCUUUUAUCCUACAUAAUCCAUACAACCAC
This 549-nucleotide long non-coding RNA is filed under the name Phascolarctos cinereus (koala). RNAcentral describes it as "lncRNA (ENSPCIG00000034366.1)". The record is from RNAcentral. Lineage: Eukaryota; Metazoa; Chordata; Mammalia; Diprotodontia; Phascolarctidae.